Molecule: long non-coding RNA, 1091 nt
Filed under: Gallus gallus (chicken)
Lineage: Eukaryota; Metazoa; Chordata; Aves; Galliformes; Phasianidae
Description: long non-coding RNA NONGGAT002117
Source: RNAcentral
CACGAAUGUGGCAGCCAUGGGAACUGAUACUGCACAGCACUAUGGAGUCACUGCAGAGUUUCAAACUGUGUAUUUGGAACAGCCCUGUGUACACAACACAGUAAGAGAAAGAAGAAGAACGUACUUGGAAUGUCCCUAUCUGUCAUGUAGGCGAGGAGAUACAGUGGCAGUAAGGACCAGAUGCAAGGAGAGCAUCAGCACUGAGACCCAUUCUAUCCCUCCGGCUGUUCCCUUGAUAUCCAGAAUCCCCGGAGGAUCAGGAUCAGUUACCAGUGGUAAGCUGAAUGUCUGAGCAUGCAGUGCCCAAAACUGGCAUUCCGGGUGGGGUAUUACAUCGAGAUAGGCAACACAAGGAAUGUGGGUUUCUCCCCUUCCUUGUUCUGAAGUUAUACACAAUUUGCUAACAGCUCAAAGCCUUUGCCUGAUAGAAAUUAUUAGCAUGACUUCCUGCCCCACUGUCUGGGGUCUGUCAACAAGUGGGUCUUCUUGUUUCUGUUCGCUGCUUUUUUAGACUCUGCCCGCACUUGCACUAAGCCACAGUGGAGCUUAGGACUCUUUUUUUCCUAUUGAGUUCAGCAUAUCUUGAACUCCUUUCAUGGUGGUGCAGCUUUGGCAGAAAGAGGGGAAAAUGCCCCUGUGCUCUUCAUAAACUGCAACUCUGGUGGUUGGUUGGGCUGUGCUUGGUGGUCAGAAGAUACAGGUAGAGCAUGGCCUCAGAGCAGGGAAGUAGACUUGGAUCUCUUGUGCACAGGGUAUAUCUGCAAUCAGUGGGACUGGCAGUCCUGUAAUUGGCUCUGAGAAGAUGUGCUAUACUGCCUGUGUCCUCACAGUCACAUUUAAAAAGGAAGUGUGGCAGUUGGUAUCUAGCCCAGUCUGGCAGGUACCCAGCAGGUAUAUCUACAGCCAAAUGGCUCUGAGGACUGGAAUGGAAGGCUGGCAUCUAGGAUUUGGGCUUUGAUCUAGAAUAGGUGUGAAAGAAGGACCAAACUGUUAUUUUAAGAGUUGGAUCCUGUAGCAGAAAUGCUGUCAUAGCUUGAAACAGUGAUUGAGCCCCUGGUGGGAAGGCAGGGCCAACCCAGGGGAGCUCAGGU